RNAcentral lists this unclassified non-coding RNA (264 nucleotides) under fungal sp. RNAcentral describes it as "partial internal transcribed spacer region". The stretch from base 1 to 46 matches the Rfam family "Eukaryotic small subunit ribosomal RNA", at positions 1786 to 1831 of the family's 1831-position model. The record is from RNAcentral. Lineage: Eukaryota; Fungi.
AAGUCGUAACAAGGUUUCCGUAGGUGAACCUGCGGAAGGAUCAUUAACGAGGUUACUGAGGGGACUCUGAUGCUGGCUCUUUUUGGGGGCACUCGUGCUCGAGUCCCUUCGCUCAUCCCACACCACUGUGCACUACUUCGAGUUAUGCGGUCUCGCUCGCCGGGAUUGCCUAAUUUGGAAACACUACAAACUUUUUAUACCAAGUCAGAAUGUAAUGAAGUUAAUAAUACAAUACAACUUUCAACAACGGAUCUCUUGGCUCUC